RNAcentral lists this ribosomal RNA (496 nucleotides) under uncultured bacterium. RNAcentral describes it as "partial 16S ribosomal RNA". It matches the Rfam family "Bacterial small subunit ribosomal RNA", at positions 28 to 506 of the family's 1533-position model. The record is from RNAcentral.
GAUGAACGCUGGCGGCGUGCCUAAUACAUGCAAGUCGAGCGAACAGACGAGGAGCUUGCUCCUCUGACGUUAGCGGCGGACGGGUGAGUAACACGUGGAUAACCUACCUAUAAGACUGGGAUAACUUCGGGAAACCGGAGCUAAUACCGGAUAAUAUAUUGCACCGCAUGGUUCAAUAGUGAAAGACGGUUUUGCUGUCACUUAUAGAUGGAUCCGCGCCGCAUUAGUUGGUUGGUAAGGUAACGGCUUACCAAGGCAACGAUGCGUAGCCGACCUGAGAGGGUGAUCGGCCACACGGGUGCUGAGACACGGUCCAGCCUCCUACGGGAGGCAGCAGUAGGGAAUCUUCCGCAAUGGGCGAAAGCGUGACGGGGCAACGCCGCGUGAGUGAUGAAGGGCUUCGGAUCGUAAAACACUGUUAUUAGGGAAGAACAAAUGUGUAAGUAACUAUGCGCGUCUGGACGGUACCUAAGCAGAAAGCCACGGCUAACUACGU